AGGACUCUUUUUUUAUUGCAUUUGCACAGCAAUUUCUAAGUCAAAUAAUGAAGCCUCCCAAGUUUUCUGCAAGGAUAUCCCAGACUUCCUGCUUGUACAAGGUGUCACCUCUCAUCUCUGCAAGUCUUGUGUGGUUUGAUUGUUGGACAGCUGUUGGACUAGAGAGACAACAAACACCGAGGAUAUAAUCAAAGCUCAUGGGACCAAGCAGAAACUGUUGUCUUCAGCAGGAUUUUAUCUCAGGCUAGAAGCACUCCAAUAUUUCACAGUAAAGACAAGCCUCAGACUUCCAGAAGAAGUUUUCCUUUGUUCUACUUUAAUCAAUCAGUGAUAAUUAACCAACAUUUAGUUUCGGCUCGAGGAAGGAAUGACAGAAAUAAUUAUGUCCUGAGACAGACAUCCCAUCAGCUUCUCCAAACCUAUUAACUGCCUCAGAUGAAUUAGCAAUCAAUGAAAUGAGAUUAAAAAGUCUAACACACAAACCAUCUCCAUUUCCAUCUCUAGAGCCAGGAUGACACAAAAUUACUACUCAGCCGCUGCAUAUGUUCCUAUAAAUGCACCAUUAUUCUGUCCAUAAAACAGUUUUGCUGGUUCAUCCCAGGACAUGAGUUCCUCUGACACUGAAAUACAAUGUGGACUUGCUCCUAACUGAUCCUGAGCAGGGAAUGGAAUAACCACUCCUGACAUGUCUGUUUAUAAGGCACCAGCUAAACAACUGUGUUAUCACAGAAUACUCAAUCGAGAGUUUUGUUCUAUAGGUACAGGUGGCCCAUUGUAAAAGAAAUUUGCGGUCUUGAAGAGAGGUUAUUGUAGACAGAUUAAAGAUAUGAAAAAUAUAAAUACUAGUGUGAAAUAGGAGGAUAAGGCUGUGGUAGUUUUAGUUACUUACAAGGGGUAGCUCUGCCUUCUUUGUUUGACUUAAUGUAAACAUUUGUUUAGGAUAGGAUGCACAGCAUCCUAGACUCCCUGAACUGUGCCAGUGCAAUCCCACUGUCUAUAAACACUGGAGAUGAAUCAGAUGAAUCCUGCCAAACAUCUGCUUUCAUUUAUCAAAACAAGGUUAAGAAACUUGAUCACAAUUUAUAAACAUCUCUUGGGAAGGGACUUAACACAAACAGAAGGGAGAUGGUAGCACUGAAAGGGAAGCUGAGCCCCUCCAGCAGUGUCCGGCUCAUAACACCUGGUAUGAGCAGUAGCAGUCACCGAGAUCAUUAUUGGUGAGACAGCACCGUUAUUUUUAUGAUGAAUAAAUAGACUAAGCCCAAAGUGACAUAAGCCACUUGGUAGUGUCAAGCAGUCAGAUUUAUAUCUAAUCUUCAUAGCUGCUUUUCAAUAGUCUCCACUUGUUUGGAGCUCCUAGCAUUUUGAUUUUAUCAUUAUACAUGCCUGCUGUGCUUUUUUUCUUCAAAAUCGUAAAUGAAAUUAUUCUUGAGUCCUGCAGGUUUCUUGUGUGGACUUUUCUAACCUUAGCAGUGAGUAAAAUUACAUGGUCUUAAUCCAGCAAGCCAAGCAUAAACUGUAUUGGAGAACAGUCUUUACCAUCGGUGCCAGUGUUCAGUGUGACUUGGAAUCCAUGAGGAAUUCCAGAAAAACCCCCACAUUGUGAUAAUAUUUACAAAAUAGGAGUAGCUUGCUCAAAUCUGAGGAAUCCAACAGACUAGCACCUUUUAGUCAAAAGAAAUGUGCUUUUAGUAAAGGUAACUUCUUAGCCAGACUUCUCAGUUGCAAAUAUUAAUAACUUUACCACCACAAGUCUCUCUAGCAGCACUCAGAAAAAUCUAAAUUUUUAUUAACUGUAAGAACAUACAAAGAUUGCCUGAGUGAUACAGACUGGGAAGACACGUGAGAGAUGCCAAAUCUCCAAGCUCAGAGUAAAAAACCAACAAAACAAAAAACCAACCAGCCAAACAAACAAACAGAAAUCCCAAACAAACAAACAAACAAAAAACCACAAAAAACCCCA
Long non-coding RNA from Neopelma chrysocephalum (saffron-crested tyrant-manakin), 1963 nucleotides. RefSeq lists it as uncharacterized. Lineage: Eukaryota; Metazoa; Chordata; Aves; Passeriformes; Pipridae. The record is from RefSeq and is a predicted model, not a curated record. The transcript is spliced from 3 exons.